AUUGUACUAAAAUGGCGGCCAGUUAUUUAAUGUUCAUACAGUUCUAAUAUAUGUGUAAUGUUUGAUCGCUGUUGUUAUUUAGUCAGGCGUCAGUCACACACCUAUUGUUAGGACCCCAAUGUCUAAAGGACCCGGAUGCUGACGCAGCUUCACAGCAGAUAUGAUCGCUAUCAUUAUAACUAGCGUGUGACGAUUCUAACGGUGAUGAUAAUGCCAGUUCUCCCGCAAUAUUGAGUUAUCGCAUGUGUGCGUGCAUCAAAGAAACCACACUUAAUUAAAUAUUGUUCCAUUUGCAAUGAGUGGUCUUUGAGUGGUGUGUGCAUCUAGCUCCUUCUAAACGGACAUCAUCUAAUUUAAUUGUUCUGAUCGGACAAGUUUCAGUGGUUUCCAUCGUUUAUUAAUUAGCACCUAAGAGCAGAACAAUAUUUUACAAUAAUC
This is a long non-coding RNA of Carassius gibelio (silver crucian carp), 438 nucleotides long. RefSeq lists it as uncharacterized. Lineage: Eukaryota; Metazoa; Chordata; Actinopteri; Cypriniformes; Cyprinidae. The transcript is spliced from 3 exons. The record is from RefSeq and is a predicted model, not a curated record.